CCAGGUAGCAAAACGUUAAAUGGCUCUAUAAAGAAUGAUAUUAUGCUAGAGCACAAGGCAUGCCUGCUUCAAAAAUUCUUAACCAAUUCUCAAAUAAAAUAAAUGCCAAGAAGUAUACUGCAAAGUGAGCCAGCAACCUUAAAAAAUGGCCCUGUAUAAGAAGCUUAGCAAUGUUGUUAACAAGAUAUAGGAGCAUAGUGUGCAUUAAAUAUAUACAUAUGUCAUACAAAUCUAUAUAUUCACGCCAAAACAUUAGGGAUAUACAUAGUGUUGGGUGCUUAGUUUCAAUAUGUGAUUAGUAAUUUUAUGAAGGCAAACUGUUCUGUUCCUUAACAAGGACACUCCUCACCGUACCCAAUACAUGAUCAUUGUAGUGGUUAUGGUGCCAUGAUUUUGGGUGCCAUAUGCAGUCUCGUGUCAGACUGCUUUCUGGCUACCAAAGCAUGGCCACUCAACAGCCCCUUUUGUAAUCCAGAAAAUUCACAAUGAGCUGCAGUGGUUGUGUUUAUUAGAGUGCCCCUUUAAAGUGAAAAACAAAAUUACUAUAAAUGUUUGCAAUUUACAAGUCAAAAUUGAACAAUAGUGUGAACUACAACAUUUCUGGCAACUGUGCCAAUGCUGUGCCCAUACAGAGAAAAUACAAAUAAUAUAUAAAUUAUUCUACAUGAAAGGUUUUUUUUGUAAUUUCCAUAAAUCUUUACACAUACACAUCAAUUUACUUUGACAUAACAGUUUAAU
Non-coding RNA from Pelobates cultripes (western spadefoot toad), 738 nucleotides. The record is from the annotation of a GenBank genome assembly. NCBI's taxonomy places the organism in Eukaryota, Metazoa, Chordata, Amphibia, Anura, Pelobatidae.